UACGUAUGGAGCAAGCGUUAUCCGGAUUUACUGGGUGUAAAGGGAGCGCAGGCGGCCUUGCAAGUCUGAUGUGAAAGGCCGGGGCCCAACCCCGGGACUGCAUUGGAAACUGCGAGGCUGGAGUGUCGGAGAGGCAGGCGGAAUUCCUAGUGUAGCGGUGAAAUGCGUAGAUAUUAGGAGGAACACCAGUGGCGAAGGCGGCCUGCUGGACGAUGACUGACGCUGAGGCUCGAAAGCGUGGGGAGCAAACAGG
RNAcentral lists this ribosomal RNA (253 nucleotides) under uncultured bacterium. RNAcentral's name for it is "partial 16S ribosomal RNA". It matches the Rfam family "Bacterial small subunit ribosomal RNA", at positions 524 to 776 of the family's 1533-position model. The record is from RNAcentral.